Molecule: ribosomal RNA, 482 nt
Filed under: uncultured Paracoccaceae bacterium
Lineage: Bacteria; Pseudomonadati; Pseudomonadota; Alphaproteobacteria; Rhodobacterales; Paracoccaceae
Description: bacterial SSU rRNA
Rfam family: Bacterial small subunit ribosomal RNA
Source: RNAcentral
AGUCGAGCGAGCCUUCGGGCUAGCGGCGGACGGGUGAGUAACACGUGGGAAUAUGCCCUGUACUAAGGAAUAGCCACUGGAAACGGUGAGUAAUACCUUAUACGCCCUUCGGGGGAAAGAAUUUCGGUAUAGGAUUAGCCCGCGUCUGAUUAGAUAGUUGGUGGGGUAACGGCCUACCAAGUCGACGAUCAGUAGCUGGUUUGAGAGGUUGAUCAGCCACACUGGGACUGAGACACGGCCCAGACUCCUACGGGAGGCAGCAGUGAGGAAUAUUGGACAAUGGGCGCAAGCCUGAUCCAGCCAUGCCGCGUGAUUGAUGAAGGCCUUAGGGUUGUAAAGAUCUUUCAAUAGUGAAGAUAAUGACGGUAACUAUAGAAGAAGCUCCGGCUAACUCCGUGCCAGCAGCCGCGGUAAUACGGAGGGAGCUAGCGUUGUUCGGAAUUACUGGGCGUAAAGCGUACGUAGCGGACUAUUAAGUCAGA